CCUGCCCAGAGCACCCAGAGCUUUUCCUCAUGUACUACUGGAUGACUCCACAAGCUUGGACACGAUGGUGGCCUACAGUCAAUGAAGUGGAAAUGCCAGAACUGCCUUGGCUGAGUUUUAAAGAAGGCCGGCCCCACUGGCCUUGUGGUUAACUUUGGUGCACUCUGCUUCGGCGGCUCAAGUUCGGUUCCUAGUUUUCCCAGGGGUGUGACAACCUCCGGAAAAGAGCCCUCCACUGGUAUCUGUCACUUGUGACAAGAGAAAGGGAUGAUCUGGCAUCUCAAGGACUACAACACCAGAUGGUCAACAUUCUGAGACCCCAUUUUCAGCCCAUUUGCCCUAUAACUGCUUCAAAAUGUUUUAGUUUUAAGAUGGUUCUUUAGGACGCUAGUCCACCAUCUUCCCCCUUGCUAGCAAGCUGUAAUAAAAAGACCCUUUCUCACCUACCACCUUGCCUCUUGACUGUUGGCUUGUCUUUGCAGCAAGUAAAGGACCCCUUUUGGCGGUAACAGUAAUAGUAUGGGUGGUUUCCUUAGGGUCCUCUGUUUCCUUUAGGUCCCUUUCUUAGAUGGGGUUCUGAGGUCAUGUGCAC
This 592-nucleotide long non-coding RNA is filed under the name Equus asinus (donkey). RNAcentral's name for it is "lncRNA (ENSEASG00005027238.1)". Lineage: Eukaryota; Metazoa; Chordata; Mammalia; Perissodactyla; Equidae. The record is from RNAcentral.